CCUACGGGCGGCAGCAGUGGGGGAUAUUGCACAAUGGGGGGAACCCUGAUGCAGCGACGCCGCGUGGGUGAAGAAGCGCCUAGGCGCGUAAAGCCCUGUCAGCAGGGAAGAAAAUGCCGGUACCUGAAGAAGAAGCCCCGGCUAACUACGUGCCAGCAGCCGCGGUAAUACGUAGGGGGCAAGCGUUAUCCGGAUUUACUGGGUGUAAAGGGGGCGCAGCCGGCGAUGCAAGUCAGGAGUGAAAGCCGGGGGCCCAACCCCGGGACUGCUCUUGGAACUGCGUGGCUGGAGUGCAGGAGGGGCAGGCGGAAGUCCUGGUGUAGCGGUGAAAUGCGUAGAUAUCAGGAGGAACACCGGUGGCGAAGGCGGCCUGCUGGACUGCAACUGACGUUGAGGCCCGAAAGCGUGGGGAGCAAACAGGAUUAGAUACCCCAGUAGUC
RNAcentral lists this ribosomal RNA (440 nucleotides) under uncultured bacterium. Its description in RNAcentral is "partial 16S ribosomal RNA". It matches the Rfam family "Bacterial small subunit ribosomal RNA", at positions 338 to 795 of the family's 1533-position model. The record is from RNAcentral.